CAGAUGAAGCAGAUGCUAGUUAAUUAGAAUUUACGUCGCUGGAAAUUUAUGAUUACAUGGUAAUCGUGAUGCAUCAUCAUUGUAGAUGAUAUAUGCAUCUAUUGUGGUACAAAACUAUUAAUAUGGAAAAUCCGAAAUAUGUGAUAUAAGUAUCUUCAUGUGGAAUAGAAGGUGAGAAGUAUCGAGUAUAGUAGUCUUACCAAGGCAGUCAAGAGCAGAUUGUGGCAUUAUGACUGGAAAUAUUCAAGUCAU
RNAcentral lists this long non-coding RNA (252 nucleotides) under Elaeis guineensis (African oil palm). RNAcentral's name for it is "long non-coding RNA (EGUI_LNC011538)". Lineage: Eukaryota; Viridiplantae; Streptophyta; Magnoliopsida; Arecales; Arecaceae. The record is from RNAcentral.